Molecule: ribosomal RNA, 399 nt
Filed under: uncultured bacterium
Lineage: Bacteria
Description: bacterial SSU rRNA
Rfam family: Bacterial small subunit ribosomal RNA
Source: RNAcentral
AUUGAACGCUGGCGGCAUGCCUUACACAUGCAAGUCGAACGGCAGCGGACCUUCGGGUGCCGGCGAGUGGCGAACGGGUGAGUAAUAUAUCGGAACGUACCUUUCAGUGGGGGAUAACCGUAGGCGAAAGUUUACGCUAAUACCGCAUAUUCUGUGAGCAGGAAAGCAGGGGAUCGCAAGACCUUGCGCUGAUUGAGCGGCCGAUAUCAGAUUAGCUAGUUGGUGAGGUAAAGGCUCACCAAGGCGACGAUCUGUAGCGGGUCUGAGAGGAUGAUCCGCCACACUGGAACUGAGACACGGUCCAGACUCCUACGGGAGGCAGCAGUGGGGAAUUUUGGACAAUGGGCGCAAGCCUGAUCCAGCCAUGCCGCGUGAGUGAAGAAGGCCUCGGUUGUAAGA